This 254-nucleotide ribosomal RNA is filed under the name uncultured bacterium. RNAcentral describes it as "partial 16S ribosomal RNA". It matches the Rfam family "Bacterial small subunit ribosomal RNA", at positions 524 to 776 of the family's 1533-position model. The record is from RNAcentral.
UACGUAGGGGCUAGCGUUGUCCGGAAUCAUUGGGCGUAAAGAGCGUGUAGGCGGCUAGAUAGGUCCGUUGUGAAAACUCGAGGCUCAACCUCGAGACGUCGAUGGAAACCAUCUGGCUAGAGUCCGGAAGAGGAGAGUGGAAUUCCUGGUGUAGCGGUGAAAUGCGCAGAUAUCAGGAAGAACACCCGUGGCGAAGGCGGCUCUCUGGUACGUGACUGACGCUGAGACGCGAAAGCGUGGGGGAGCAAAACAGG